AGUUGUAGUCCCAAAACAUCUGGAGGGCCGAGUUUGCCUGUGCCUGGUCUACACUGACUGGCAGCAGCUCUCCAGGAUUUCAGACAGCGAUCUCUCCCAGCUCUUCCCAGAGCUGCCAGGGGGUUUGAACCUGGGACCUUAUGCAUGUAAGGUAGCAGUGCUCUGCUACUGAGCCACAGCACCUCCUGAUUACAUCUGGGGUGGUUCACCUUGGCUACAUGGAAUGCUGAAACACUGAUCCCACCAAGAUUCGCCCCCAAAACAUUUAAUAUUUUAAUUACCAUUCCUUGACUCCAAAAUAACGAAAAGUUACGCUGGUAAAUGCAGUUUCUACAGAAGCACAAGUUAUCUUUAUAAAUAGCUUUUUUAUUUUUUUUAAUGUACAUUACUAAAUAAAAUAUAUUGGAUAGCUAAAAGAUUUUGUGAAUUAAAGAAAAAAAAUUUAAAUAUAUUUUUGCAUGCUCAGCUAUUUGGCAGAAUUCCUUCACUAAUUGUAUCAGUGACAGAAUACUAUAUACAGUACCCCAUGGCAGGAGGCAAGCAGGGCUUCUCACAAGGGACUUUUAAACUGCUUGAAUUAUUACACACAGAUCUUUGGUGGUGCCACUAACCCUCCUGCUGUCUAUCAUUCUCACUGUUCACAACUCAAGUCUUUUUGCACUGUAAAGGUCCACACAACAACCCCCACCCCCACUAAAUAGGAUAAUCUUUUCCCUUUCACCCAUCCAUUUUAGCCCAUGCUGGCCCAAUUCACAAUGACCUUAGAGGAACUUCUGGAAAGGAAGGAAAGAAAAAAUUAGGCAUUAAAAGCCUGCCCUCAAAUUUCAGUGUACAACUCCAUGGGAAAGUAGAAUAGUGUGUUCCACAUAGAGCCUUUCUGCUCACAGGAAGCAUUUUGAAAUGCAUCAAGAUUGCAAUGCACAUUUAAAUCCCCCCCCCCUUCCAUUUCCCUCUCUUACAGGCUAGUUCUCCUGGGCGUGUUUCAUCACCUGGUGUACAUCAGGUGUGAGUGAACCAUCAGGGAUAGAACUUCCAUAAUGCUUCUCCUUAGACACAAGAUUUCUCAAGGCAAUUGAAUCUCACAGGGCUGUUUCACACAUUACACAGAGGCAAGCCUGGGUUUGCCAAAGUGUUGUACACUCAGCAGAGUCCUGGCCCUCUGCUGAGCGUAUGAUAGAAAACAUAUUUGCAUACAUGUAGCUUGUGUAGUAUCCUAAAUGUGUUUCCAUGCAUUCACAGGUGAUUUUCAGUGGGUCCCCUAAAAAUUUGUGAGCUGGCUCAGCAUCCAAGCAUUCAGUUAUCAGGUUACAUGCAUGCAUGUCUGAAUCAGCCCACAUCCAUACAAGCAGCAGGAAGAAGCUUAAAGGCCCUGCUAGUGCCGCUUGUGGAAAAGUCUGCUGUAGGCCGUCUCCUGCACGCAUGAAUCACUCAAAUUGCACAGAACUGCUGAUCCCUUUCAAUGCAAAUAUGUGCACAGGAAAUUCAUUAUACUGUACUGGGAAGUGUGCUGUAAAUAGGAAUUAUUAUUUUCAAACAGAUCACUUCAUUUUUAAUUGGUAUGAGGAAUUCAUUGCUCAUUUUGAACCUUAGUUUUAUGCAAAGGGAGAAACGUACUACUUAAUCUUCUUUUGUCUUUCAUGAUGAAUAUCAGUAUUGACCUAAGCUGGCAAGCGAAUCCCAAGAAUCAGCUUCAGCUGCCCCUAGUGCAUCAGAAAAGUUGAAACAGCCUGUACCCUAUACUUGGCACAUGAGGGUGUGUGUUUAGAGAGAUGCCAUACUCUGCCCCGUAUACCUGGGGGAUAUGGGUACAGACAAAUGCUUGUGUGUCCUUUUCUGCCUCUAGAACAGGGUUUCCCAAACUUGGGAAACUCUGCUCUAGAGCCAACGAACAACCCUUUACUUGCUGCUUAAGGUAGCAUCUUGCCGUCCUCUGCCCUUGUGCUCCAUCCCAAUGGGACCAUGGCAAAAAAUAAGUGGAAGAGCAACACUGAUUCUGCAAUGAUUGCCACUGGGAUGGUGCUCUUGUGCUAGAGCAAGGGAACAAGAUGUCCCCGCAAGCUGACAGUAUGCUCAUGCUGCUGCCUAACUGUGGGCGCUUAUCGGAUGAGGCUUUUAAGUCUCUGAUUGGAUUAGCCCGUCCAAAGGAUACCAAUAGGAUAAGGAAGGUUUGCUUAUAUGUUAGGUAGGCCUGAUCUGUAUAGGACAACCUUGAAGCAUUCAGGUGUCUUUGAGUUAUGGCACCAGAGGGAACAUCUGUAUAAUAUAUAAGCCAGAGUAUAUGCUAAAAGCACUUUCUUCCUAUUCUAGGAAUGCCAUAAUCUAAGGUAAGACCCAGAAGUAAAGACAAAUGAUUCAGGAAGAGGCAUUAUGUUAUUGUACUGUUCCCUCAUCACCCCAGAAAAGGAAUGGUCUAUAUAUGCCUAAUAAUUUCCUUCCCUUUUGCCCAAGAGACAAAAACUCCAGCCAUGGUCUCAUUUCAUGGCAGACUGGAAAUUGCCUGCACUUUAAAGGAGUCCGGAUUUGGAUUCCAAAACCCCACAACCCCGAAAUCCUGAAUUUUGUUCAGUUUGUUAUUUUUAUUGCUGGUUAUUUUUCAACAGAAUGAUACUUAUACUCUCACCCUGAUAAAAGAUUUAUUCUAUGUGGUAUUUGAUUAUACUGCAUUAUGUACACACACACAAAUACAUGAUCUGACAAAAAUGCAUAUUGGAUGGCAAUGGUUAUUUAUGUUGAAGAGUCCCAUAAUGUAAUCCAUAUGCAAAACCCAUAGAAUUAAAGCCAUGCAAACAAAGUGAGUCUCCUAUCUCCCAAGAUUUAUUACAUUCUUUUUGGAGGGGGAGGGGGGAGAAUUUCUUAAGUUGGUCUCAAACUUGUGCCUUGAAUUUGCUCCUGAAACAGAUUCACUCGUGUGGUCUGAAGAGAGAAUACAACUACUAAUGUAUUUUGGGGUGCAGGGCAGGGGGAAUUCCAAACGUUACUGGAAUUCCAGUAAUGAUGCGUUUAAGCUGUGUUUAUCGGGGGAAGCUGAGUAAGUUUUAGAUUGACAGUAUGAAAUGUAUUGCACGGCUCCUGAAGUGGAGGAAAGAAAAGGCUCUCUACUCUGAUACCAAAGUGGCCAAUAGAUUAAACAUGAAAAUAUUUCUUUAUUUGGGAAUGUAUGCUGCAAAAAAGAGAGAGAGUACAAGAUAGAUGAAUUUUGCCAUAAAGCACUGAAUUCCCCAAAAGCUGAUACUGUGUUAGUUUUAUUAUGUUAGCUGCCCUGAGCCCUGCUUCAGCCAGGAAGGGCGGGGUACAAAUAAAAUAUUAUUAUUAUUAUUCACAAACCAGCAGUACACAGGUGUCUUAUACACUAUGAGCCACUGAACUAGCAAAUGUAUAUGACGAUUCGCACGACUGCUACCCCAGUACACUCCCACAAUCCCUGACACUUUGUGAGCAGUCCCAGGAAGUUGUACUGGUACUGUACAGUUUCUCAGUGCAGCCAGCAACUAUUAGUAGUAGCAGUGACAAUAUACAAAAUGGUUGUGUGGCAAAAGGAAGGGUAUGCUUAUCUGUGCAGCAUUCAAAAGGCAUUUUUAGGCUUCAUGUUCUAGAAUCUAGGAACAUGACUGUAGCUUUGAGUGUUUGUUUCACAGCUCGUCAAAGCACACAGCCCUUCCAGCUUUAUUUAUUUAUUUUGGAGGGGGAGUUAUGAACAGGAGGGGGGUGGAAAGGGGCUUGCAUAUUCUUAGGAAGGAAGGGAAGUGUUGCCCUCACUCUGAAUUGGCUUUUAUGACAUCAUAAUGUCACCACAUUUGAUUGGCUCUGUGGCAUCAUGCAGUGCAGCCCUUAGCUGGCCAGGUCAUGCUUCCAAGUAGAUGGAGACUAAAUAAAAUAAUAUAAAAGACAACAGAGAAGCAGACUGCAGAAACUAGCAGUUGCCCUCAAGCAGCAAAUAAGUUGAGAAAGGAGGUGGUUUUGAUAACAUAUUGGUUCCCACUCACCCCAAAAAGUCUCUUUUCAUGGGCCAACCUUUUUGAUAUGCAAGUACUUGAAUGUUUAGUUAAAUGUUGUGGUUUGAGACCUACUUAGGAAGCUAACUAUGAUCCUAAACUCUUUAUUUAGUAGUAAAUCCUAUAAAUUGAAUUGAGAUUUACAACACAACCCUAUGCAUGCUUUAUUCUAAAGUAACUUCAAUGGGGUUUAAUCCCUGGUAAGUGGGCUUAGAACUUCAGCUCAGAAUCCAUGCCAGCGUACUUAGGAUAGCAGCCUGUUACUUGCUUUUGUCACAAUUUAUAUAGCCUUUCUAUAUCAGACUAUAUACUGCUCUUUCUCCACUUCUGAACUGAUCCAUCUUACCCUGUUUUUACUCUGUCUUAAAUGAAAAACGAGUCCUGUGCAGGUCUGUGAGUCAUACUAAAUAUUCCAUGGGACAGAAGCAAGUCCCAUUAUCUUCAAUAGAGCUUACUUCCUGGCCCAAUAAGCACGUUUAGGAUUACAGUUGAUUAAAUAUGAAACUGCUGCUACAUUCACUGGGGUGUGAGAUGCUUAUAGGACUGAGUUCCUCUAAAAGAUCUUUGAUAGCUAAAUGCUUGAUAAACCACAGAGGACAGGAAAACUGGAUGCAAAGCAGUUCCUUGCUGUACCUUUCUCGGAGACUUGAAAGUGGUUUAAAAGAGGGAUCAUGGCUUGCAGUGUGUCUUCUGACUUCUGCGCCCAGUAAGCAGGUUUUGCCUCAUUUGGGGUUUGUUUUUUGUUCUUUAAAAGUCGUGCAAAACUUGCUUAUUUAUUUAUUUGGGGGUUUAUAUAUCCCGCCUUUCAUACUAACCUCAAGGCAGCUAACUCCUCCAAAAAUCAUACACCAUACAUUGACCAGCAGUGAAAGUGGGACACAAGAAAUUUGUGUGUGCAAUAAGGGGCGGUAAAGCAGUGCUCUCUCUCAAACCACUUUCAAUUCUCAUUCAAAAACUAUUGCGUUUCCAGCUUUCUGCAGCUCUCUCAAAAGAGCACGGCAGAGUAGAAUGUAGUAUGGCUGUUGGGUUUUCGUUUUUUGCAAUGUCCCUGAUCCUGCAGUGGGAAUCUGCACUUCAAACCUUACUAAGAGGGAGCACUACUAACUGAAUAAAUGCUGCAGGACCAGGGUUUGGUUUUGUGGUUCUGGGUUGUUUGGGUGGUUUUUUCUUUUUUCCUUUUUAAUGGUAUGCAAGAGCUAGUUUUGUGUUUAUUUUUAUGACUUUGUGAUGAUCCGAACUCUGAUGUUGGGUUGCAAGUCAGCCUGGAAGACUGCCUACUGAGUCUUCCCUUUGGAUCAGCAUUUUAUCCUUCGUGUCGUUCACUCUUAAUCAUCAUUGUGCCAAGUUUAUUUUCUUUUUAUAUGAUUUCUUACAUCCACUGCAGAUACAACAAAAUAAGUAGCUAGUUUUUCAACAGUGGAUUUUUGUUGUUGUUUGGUCAAUUUUAAAACAUAAAGACACAGGAAAGGGUUCCAAAUUAUAAUUAUUUUCCUUAGGUCGUUUUUAUACUGAAAAGUGUACAGAAAGUUGCAUUCACCUCACCAAAUACUGUUGUGAAUGUAGAAAUUGGCGCUCCAGCUCUCUCUCUUUCAGUUUCCACGACCUUCUGUCCUUUUCCAUCUAAAGGCUCUUUCUUAUGAUUUAAAUGUUAAAGAUUAGGUUGUUCCAACAGAACUUUUGUUUAGGUCAUUGUUAACAUUGCCUAAGCGCUGAAGUUAAUGCAGGAAAUUAAAACUCCAAUGUAAUUUUAAAGCAAAUUAUGAAUAACGUUUGUACCUGUGUGAAACCAAAGAUUUUUGCCAUUAAAAUUGCAGCACCUUAAAAGUUCAAAAUUGUAUAGUAGAAGGCCCCUUUGCUCCUUGGUAUUCAAACCAUGCCAAGCUGUAUGAUUCCCCUUUUCAGUUAGGGCAAACUAGUGUUUGGUAGGGUUUAGAAAUCUGCUCUUCUGUUAUCCUAUACCAGUAGUUUGCUAUUUGUGCCAUUUACUUGAACAGAGCAAGCAACUCCUGUCUAAUGAACUAGAAAACCAUUGCCCUGCAAAUAGAGGACCAUGCCAAAACCUUCCCUAAAAGGGCUGAUUAGAUCACUCUUUAGUGUUUAUAUCAGGCUUUCUCAACCUAGGACCCUCCUCACGCUUUUGGACCACAACUCCCAUCAUCACAACUCCAAUAUCUGAGGGGCACCAGGUUGGAGAAAGACUGGUUUAGAUGCUGUCACAUUCAUGGUUUCUUCUGCAGAUACAAAGCAGUGGUUUUCAAUCACAAUACUAUCAGGGAAUCCUUUCUGCAUUAACUUUUCUGGUAAAAAAAAAACACACAACAAAGUCCAGUGCAUUGAGCGUUCUGGGGGUAGGGGAGUGUUUUGAUGUGUAUAUAUUGCUGUGUUGUGACUGAAUGAAGUGCAACACCCAAGACUCCCAUGCAGAUGCACAUUAAAGGGCAAGAAGGUGGAUGUGAUGGACAAACUCGUUCAGGAAAACAUAGCUGCCGUUUUUUAUCUUCCCUGAUAAUAUUCCAAAGGAGCCCAUGGUUUCUUGGAGCACUGUCAGAAAACCACUCCCCUAAUGAGUAGAACCUGAUUCACCACCAAAUUUGGCAAGGCCUCUGGGUCAUUGGUCUUGCAAAGGACACUUUUAUGUGCACUACCUUUUAUUUUAUUUUUGUACUUUGCAUGUUCUCCAUGCUGCUGUCCUGAAAUUCAAAGCACUUUCUGAAAGAAAAUUGAUUGUAACCGAGAGCUACUGUCAUUUUCCUAACUCCUUUAAUGAAAAUUGCUAGCAUGUUGUUUCUGUCUGUCUGUCUGUUGGCUUGUUUGUUCUGACGCCCACAGAAAGAAUGUAGAACUCCUAAGGUCUGUCAACUCAAGAUGCUUGAAAGGUGGAUAGCUUCUGAUAUUCAGUAACCUUGAAUUGUGGUGAAAUCUGAAAGCAUCAGAAGCUGACAUGGCCAGACAGGCAAGGU
This is a non-coding RNA of Podarcis muralis (Common wall lizard), 6952 nucleotides long. The record is from RefSeq and is a predicted model, not a curated record. Lineage: Eukaryota; Metazoa; Chordata; Lepidosauria; Squamata; Lacertidae.